ACGGCUCAGUAACACGUCGAUAAUCUGCCCUUAAGCCUGGGAUAACCUUGGGAAACUGAGACUAAACCCGGAUAAAAUAUUAUUGCUGGAAUGCAUUCUAUUUGAAAGGUAACACUUAAGGAUGAGUCGGCGCCGGAUUAGGUUGUUGGUGGGGUAACGGCCCACCAAGCCAAAGAUCCGUACGGGCCAUGAGAGUGGUAGCCCGGAGAAGGACACUGAGAAACUGGUCCUAGCCCUACGGGGUGCAGCAGGCGCGAAAACUUUACAAUGCACGAAAGUGUGAUAAGGGAAUCCUAAGUGCUAAUACACAGUAUUGGCUUUUGCCAAGGGUAAAUACCUUGGAGAAUAAGUGGUGGGCAAGGCUGGUGCCAGCAGCCGCGGUAACACCAGCGCCACAAGUGGGAGCCACGAUUAUUGGGCCUAAAGCGUCCGUAGCUGGUUGGGUAAAUCUUUUGUGAAAUCGGAAAGCUUAACUUUCCGGCGUGCAGAAGACACUACCUGACUUGAGACCGGGAGGGGUAAGGAGUAUUUCCAGGGAACCGGUAAAAUGGGAUAAUCCUGGAAGGACUACCUGUGGCGAAGGCGCCUUACCAGAACGGGUCUGACAGUGAGGGACGAAGGCUAGGGGAGCGAACCGGAUUAGAUACCCGAGUAGUCCUAGCAGUAAACUCUGCGGGCUAGGUGUUGCAUCAUCCAAGUGAUUAUGCAGUGUCGUAGCGAAGGCAAUAAGCCCGCCGC
This 738-nucleotide ribosomal RNA is filed under the name uncultured euryarchaeote. RNAcentral describes it as "bacterial SSU rRNA". It matches the Rfam family "Archaeal small subunit ribosomal RNA", at positions 85 to 827 of the family's 1478-position model. Lineage: Archaea; Methanobacteriati; Methanobacteriota. The record is from RNAcentral.